GUACUGCCGAAGAGUCCCAAACCAGGAGGAAACAACUGUCCAGUAC
Molecule: non-coding RNA, 46 nt
Organism: Trichobilharzia regenti
Lineage: Eukaryota; Metazoa; Platyhelminthes; Trematoda; Strigeidida; Schistosomatidae
Source: Rfam